UGGCUAGGCUGGCGAACUCCAGGGACUUGUCUCUGCCUCCCCAGUGCUGGAAUUACAGACGCACCACUGGAUGUAACACUGAGCAGCCUCUAUAUAUACUCCUGCUGCUAUGAUGUUCUGUUUGGCCUCAGCACAGGUUCAGAGUCAACAAAGCCCAGGACAGUGCACUGGAAUGUCUUAGACUGUGGGCUGAAACACAGCUUUAAAAUAGACUUAUCAGGUAUUUCAUUAUAACAACAAUAGCAACAUAACUUUUGCUGCAUGUAACCAAAAUCCAGAUUCCUGAAUUAUCAAAGCUAAUAUUUGUUCUACAUGUCAGGUCAAGGGCAAUUUUCUUUAUUUGUUUUGACAAAACAAAGCCCUCUGUACUUCCCACAUGCUCAGUGAAUGGGUUUAGUGUUUAGUCACCUAGUCUUUGCUACUUAGACAGUAGGUGUUUAGGGACAUUUAAAGCUACCAGAUCAAAAUCUACCUGAAGUUAAUGCCCAAAGUGUCCCAAUGUCUUGAGUCACAGCAUUCGCCCUACUACUAAGAUGUUUUGAAUUAAGUUUUCUGGGGUUUUCAAGUUAAGGGAGCCAUUGCAUUACAAGCAGUGUUUGGACAAAGGCAACACCUGCCUUCUGCUGGCUGUGAGAUGUGGGGUGGACUUGAUCUUCGAAUCAUCUAAAACUCUCAGCCACUUCUUCCCUCCCUUGGUGAUAAGAACACCCUCAGCAACUCAUUUAUAGUUUACAAAGAACUGGUAUCUCCUGUCUCGUUUAAACCCACCAACAACCCUGAGAUGUGUGUAGAUUGUUUCCAUUUUCUACAAGAGAGAACAGAGGCUCAGGGAGACCUGCCUGCCAGAGACCACACAGCAAGGAAAAGAUAAAGAUGGCAAGAAGAGCCAAUCUUCAUCACUUUUGGGAACCUACAUGCCUGUUGUGGGCUCUCUGCACCGCUAGUGGCAGAUCUUAAAGCUGCUUUGGUGACUCUCCCUUGGACUUGACCUGUGGCUUUGAGGACUGGCACCUCCUGGAGAGGACUUCAGAACAUUUCCAGUGCUGGGGAAUAAAUAAGGGUCUACCAUUGGCCCAGCAAGGCCUGCAUCACUGAGCUACAACUUCAGCCUCAAGAUGAAUGCUCAGGCCUGUGACUUUGCUAGAAAUGCUGGGGGUUCCUGAGGAGUGCGACAUGGGCAGCAUUGGAAGGGUUCCCCAGGCCUGAAGGGAGAGUCCUACCUGUGAUCUUACUCCCAAAGGAAGCUUAGAGGGGAAGAUUGGCAGUGAAUGCUGGGAAACUCCUGGGAGGCGUGGCCUGGUACUAGGCUGUGACCACACUAAAGAAGGGGUAGUUGUGGGUGAUAAAAUUAGCCCCUCCUCAAAA
Non-coding RNA from Cricetulus griseus (Chinese hamster), 1365 nucleotides. The record is from RefSeq and is a predicted model, not a curated record. Lineage: Eukaryota; Metazoa; Chordata; Mammalia; Rodentia; Cricetidae.